Molecule: ribosomal RNA, 245 nt
Filed under: uncultured bacterium
Lineage: Bacteria
Description: partial 16S ribosomal RNA
Rfam family: Bacterial small subunit ribosomal RNA
Source: RNAcentral
CACGUAGGGCGCAAGCGUUGUCCGGAAUCAUUGGGCGUAAAGAGCUCGUAGGCGGUCUGUUGCGUCUGCUGUGAAAUCCCGGGGCUUAACCCCGGGCUUGCAGUGGAUACGGGCGGACUUGAGGUAGGUAGGGGAGAAUGGAAUUCCCGGUGUAGCGGUGAAAUGCGCAGAUAUCGGGAGGAACACCGGUGGCGAAGGCGGUUCUCUGGGCCUUACCUGACGCUGAGGAGCGAAAGCGUGGGGAG